GGAAAGCGGAGAGAGAGCUGCAGGAGAGGCGGUGGUGAAGGAAGCAGUGCAGGGCCAUGCGUGGCCCCCGACGUGGGCAUUCGGCUGGAGCUCUUGAUUCUAGGUCCCAGCCUGAGUACACGAGGAUUCCUCUGGCCUGUUAGCUACAACUUCCUCUUCUGGAGGUCUUACUUGUCAUCUAUGUCUUGGUCGUCUGCAUAUAUUUUCUAGAAAUUUCCUCAAGCCCUUCUACCGUGAAGGUGAGCCGUGAAGUCUAUUGCCCAGGGAUUGGGGACGUUUGUAUUAAAGAAGGUUUUGGAGUACAGAAGCAGGAAGAUGUGUUGUGGAGAUGCUGUUGGCAGAAACAACUGGCCUUGACUAAACAAACCAAGAGUUCCUACAGGAGCAGAGGCAACCGGGUGAAGGCUGACGCCCUUGCACAGGCUUGGGCAGCUCUUCUCCACAUGUCCACGUGGCUCACUUCCUUACCUACUUCAGGGCUCUGCUCACACGUCACCUCCUCAAGAAGGCCUUCCCCAACUACCCUGUCCUCACUCCCACCCCUUACCCCUGCAUUCCCUGUCCCUCUCACUCUGCUGUGGUUUAUCCUACCUGACAUAGAACAGGUUUAUCUCCCUGUUGUCUAGCAGGCUUUUAUCCAGUUCUGCUUUGCCGGACUGUAUUAAGUAAGUCUCAGUUCCUGGGCUUUAUCACUCAGCAUGGGUGGAACACACGAAAAUGGGAUUUUCCUGUUCCCACUACAGCACUUUUCUUGUGGAUACCACAUCUCCCCAUGUGCAAUAUUCUAUUCCCAUCUCACUCUUACCUUGUGCAGAGCUAUUUUCUCAGAGCAUGAGUCUCUGAACGGAAAAUCUACUGCUUUGUGCCCUGCCUGAGGAUAAGCUUCACCAGAGCAGUCUAUAUUGUUGUUGCUGUUGUUGUUGUUUAUUGCUGUAUUCCUAGCUUCUAGAACAGUGCCUGGCAUGGCAAUCAGUGGCAUGAGUAAAUUUAUGAGUAUAUAUAAUGGACAAGUUUGGGAGAAGAUAAUUAGUUUGGAAACGGGAGAGUUUAGUGGGAGAGACAGGGCCCUGACUACCUCAAAAAGCAGCAGUACUAUAAGAGGACAGAGUUUCUAUUUUUCUGCCUGGUCUAGGACUUGUACUGGUCUUUCAACUUGAAUUCAUGCAGCAAGACAGUGGUGGUGAAAAGAUAAAGGCAUUUCUACCUGGGUAGACAGUUUCUUUUUCUGGAGACAAGAAUUGAGAAGGCCUACCAGAUUCUGGCAGUGAGUUGACUGUACUUGUUUUUAGCAUUGUGAAUUUUUGCCUUCAUAUGAAUUUAAGUAGGGAGUUUAGCAAUGCUGUUUCAGGGUUUCCAUCCAGAUUUUCCGUUUCAAAUUGGACAUCUAUUUGCACCUUUAAUUCGCGUAACAAAUACUUCACAGAGAAUACAAAGUUGAAUUAUGGGCAGCUCAAUUCAUCCCCCCAAAGGCAGACAAGAGAUGGCAGGUCCAAGUUAUGCCUAUAUUACACAGUAGAGAUUAUUUUAAGUGUUUUGUUAUUGCUUCCAAGUUCACACAAAUGCUUCUUACUAAUUUAUAUUGGUCACAUUCACUAUUCUUAUUUGGUACUCAUUAGUGACUUUGUACUCUCUUAAAGAAAAUAAACCUCCAGAUUAACUAAAA
This 1663-nucleotide long non-coding RNA is filed under the name Homo sapiens (human). RNAcentral's name for it is "non-protein coding JAZF1-AS1:4". The record is from RNAcentral. Lineage: Eukaryota; Metazoa; Chordata; Mammalia; Primates; Hominidae.